CAGAGGGUGCGAGCGUUAAUCGGAAUUACUGGGCGUAAAGCGCGCGUAGGCGGUUUGUUAAGUCGGAUGUGAAAUCCCCGGGCUCAACCUGGGAAUUGCAUUCGAUACUGGCAAGCUAGAGUAUGGGAGAGGAAGGUAGAAUUCCAGGUGUAGCGGUGAAAUGCGUAGAGAUCUGGAGGAAUACCGAUGGCGAAGGCAGCCUUCUGGCCUAAUACUGACGCUGAGGUGCGAAAGCAUGGGGAGCAAACAGGAUUAGAUACCCUGGUAGUCCAUGCCGUAAACGAUGUCAACUAGCCGUUGGGGGAUUUGAUCCUUUAAGUGGCGCAGCUAACGCGGAGUAAGUUGACCGCUGGGGAGUACGGUCGCAAGACAUAAAACUCCAAUGGACUUUGACCGGGGGCCGGACAAGCGGUGGAGCAUGUGGUUU
This 427-nucleotide ribosomal RNA is filed under the name uncultured bacterium. RNAcentral describes it as "bacterial SSU rRNA". It matches the Rfam family "Bacterial small subunit ribosomal RNA", at positions 526 to 947 of the family's 1533-position model. The record is from RNAcentral.